RNAcentral lists this microRNA precursor (92 nucleotides) under Canis lupus familiaris (dog). Its description in RNAcentral is "mir-8799 microRNA precursor family". It matches the Rfam family "mir-8799 microRNA precursor family". RNAcentral also lists the same sequence under 1 other name. Lineage: Eukaryota; Metazoa; Chordata; Mammalia; Carnivora; Canidae. The record is from Rfam by way of RNAcentral.
GGGGGGAGGCCGGAUCCUGGGCUGUGUCCCCGUUUCCCUGUGAUCCCGGGCCUGCACUGUUGAUUUCGCGCUCCUGGGCCACAACGCCCCCU